Long non-coding RNA from Raphanus sativus (radish), 3280 nucleotides. RefSeq lists it as uncharacterized. The record is from RefSeq and is a predicted model, not a curated record. Lineage: Eukaryota; Viridiplantae; Streptophyta; Magnoliopsida; Brassicales; Brassicaceae. The transcript is spliced from 2 exons.
GAGAAGAAGAAUGAUUUUGAGAGUUUGAGGCAGAGUGGAAAGUCUGUCAGAGAGUAUGAGCAUGAGUUUCGCCAGCUUCACAGGUUUGCGGGAAUUGGUAUGGAUGAGGAGGAUCUUAUCAGGAGGUUCUUAAAAGGAAUGCGAGUAGAACUUCACGGUAGGUGCAGUAUGGUCACCUAUACCAGUUUGGAGGAUCUGGUAUAGAAGGCCGUUGUGCAAGAGAAAUGUAUUGCAGCGGGGCAGAAGUUCAACAAGGCAGCUCAGCAUAAGUCUGAAGGAGCUUCAGAGUCACAUAAGAGGACAUGGGAUCGGCCGAGUAUCCAGUGUCAUAAUUGUGGGUUGUUCGGGCAUGUUUCUAGAAAUUGCCGAAAGCCACUAGUUACCCAGUUUAUAGCGCCAGCAGCACCAGUAGCAGCAACUAGGAACUGUUAUGGUUGUGACCAGCCAGGUCAUAUCUUCAGAGAUUGCCCGAGGAGGGGCAAUGCAGCACUUCCACCACCACCGAAGCGCCUAGCCAUCGCUCCACGUGUGUUCACGGUUGGAGAUGCCCAGGGAGCCGAGCCGAUAGCGGGUAUGCAUCUUAUUCAUACUACUUGUGUUUGAAUAUUGUGGUCUCGUAAUUAUCUGUGUAGUUAGCAAAAAUCUCGUAUAGUUCGGUUUUGGUUAAAAGUAAGUUAGUUCGCAUCUUGUUCGACACGGAGCUUCCCACAGAAUUGUGAGUUCACAUGUGGUCAAGUCUUAGCAUUUUCAGUGUAUCUUUAAAAGAAGACAAAGAGGAUUUGAGAGCAAUCAGUAUUCAUCGCGAUGUACCAGUUGUCUUUCGAGUAUUAAGAUGGCAUCGUAUGAAGUCCUUUACAACAAGUUUUAUUACACACCGCUUUAUUGAAGACAAAAGUGGGGGAGCGACGUGAGGUAGAAACCGCAAUGGAUCAAGAGAUGGUAGAGCAAAUGAACGUGCUCAAGUUUGGCCUUGGGAAGGCCAUGACCGUGAAAAAAAAGUUAUGCAUAUAUGCGUCGUAAGGAUUUGGAGUUUCAGGCGAGUGAAUGAAUAUAUCUAAAAUGAAGACAUUUCAAGGAGGAGCUAAGACACAAAAGUUGAUGAAGCUUAAACCGAAGUACAUGUUAUCAUAUCUUAUUUUUGGAGCGGAUUGGAGCAGUUCUUAGAGAUUGGAUUUAUCGGCAGAGUUAUCUGACUUCCACGAUGUGUUUCAUGUUUCCGUUUUGAGAAAAGUUGUUAGAGAGCCAGAGCUCAUUUUGCAGCAGCCACCAAGUGAUCUUGGCAAGAAUUUAUGUGCGCCUUGUCAGCCAGUGGAGAUUUUGGAUCGCCAAGUGAAAGCAGUUAAGGGAAUGAUGACCAUGUUGGUCAAGGUUCGUUGGGAGUCUGAGCCUCAGAUGAGGAUUGAUUAUCCAGAGCUGUUUCAGGAUGGUGUUGGACAGUCAGCGGACGACUCGAAUUCGAGGACGAAUUCUUUAUUAGUGGGGGAGAAUUGUAACGACCCGAUUUCGGCCACAGAGUUCGUUAGCAUGCUAACGCCCAUGCACUCACCCAAAGAGAGAGAGUCGCCUGAGGUCGUCGCCGGAGCCACCGUGUCCAGUGAUCUCGUCAAGCUCAUCACCACCUUUCGUUGUAGUCGGUAAGCGCCGGAAACCGCCAUGCAUUUGAGUUUAGUUUCGUGCGUUUAGUAAAUCGUCCAUAACUUUCUAACAGUUGCGAAUCUCGUGCAUGCAAACCCACCAUCGUGUUCCUCUCGUCGAGACGAAUCCGUAGACACCAGAAUCGCCAUAAUCGGAGCUCAGACGAAGCCGUACGCGCCCUCCAAAGUUUCGCCGGAAAUCGUCUCCGCCACCACCGGACCACCGCUUCGCCGCCGCCGGAAAUCGUCUCCGCCGCCGGCCACCGCCGUUCUCCGCCGCCAGCCACCGUCUUCCUCCGACGCCGCUCCGCCGUCCUCCGCCGGUAAGCCACCGCCGCCCUCCGCCGUCGCCGCCGUUGACCGCCACCGGUGACUCGCCGGCGACUCGGCCAACUCGGCUGAGUCGACCCGGUGAGUCAACUCGGUGACUCGGUUAACCGGUCGGUUUGAUUGGUUUAAAUCAAUUGCGAUUUGGUUAGGGUUGGUUAGCGUAAACCAUCGGUUAAAAUCAAUUCGAAAUCGGUUAAGGAAAACCAAUUGGUUAAAUCAAAUUGAUUUCUGGUCAAGGGUUGACCGGGUUGACCUUUGACCAGCGGAUUGACUUUUCCGUAGACUUUGACCAGACCCGUUUUGAGUCGUUCGAAAGGCGUUUUGACUCGAAUUUUCGCCGUGGUUUCAGAUUUGGAGUCUAUUUGAGCAGCUGGAGUUCAUAGAUACCACUUCUCUUCAUUUGCUAAGGUGAGGGCUACUCCGUUUAAAUCCCGAGCUAGUUUAGUACUGCUAUUAUGAAAAGUUUAGUUUCGAAACAUGAUAGUCUCUGUGAAUCGAGUCUGUUUGAGUUUGUUUGAGAGUCUUGCGUGUUCAUAAUUGUUAUUGAUUGUUAAACCGGAAAUAGGAUAAUAGAGGAUUCAACGGUUGUGUGAAAUGUUUGAUGCUGAGAACUGUUAUAUAUGUAUGUAUAUAUAUAGUUAUAUAGUAGGGACUAUGUGAUUGUGCGGGGGUUCGGAGAUGUCCGAGCUAUCGACGCAGCGGGAUUUGUGCGGGGGCCCAGAGACGUCUGAGCUAGCGACGCAGCGGGAUUUGUGCGGGGGUACAGAGACGUUUGUACUAGCGACGCAGCGGGUGGUUGUGCGGGGGUACAGAGACAUACUGUACUAGCGACGCAGCGGUUAUCUAUAUCCUUAUGAGGAGAUGCGUGGUGCAGAGAGUAGCUGUGUACUAUAAGCGCAUGGGUUGUAGUUGGAUAGUUUUCUAGUCGCUUGUUGAUUGUUCUUUGUGGUGUAGACACCGUGUUUGUUUCAUGCUAGAGCUAGGCCUACAUAAUCGUAGUGCUAUGCACUGAGUCAGUGGUUUGCGGUUUAGCAUCCCAUACCUCACUGAGCGACUCCCCUGUUGCUCACCCCUCUUUCUUUCUCCUUUCAGGUGAGACCGAUGAGUAGGAGUGAUCAUAUCGGACUAGUGCUACUAUUUGGGCUCGUGGGCUUUAUCGUUUUAUCGUUUUAUCUUUUUAUCGUUAUUGGGCCUUUAGGCCUUCGGACUUAUAUCGUUUCCGCUACUUCCUAUUUUCAGACCUUCGGGCUUAUGUUGUUAUUUAUAUUUCGGAUGUUUAUUUUCGGAUUUGACUUUAUGGUAUGACGUGGAUUUUA